RNAcentral lists this non-coding RNA (27 nucleotides) under Mus musculus (house mouse). The record is from RNAcentral. Lineage: Eukaryota; Metazoa; Chordata; Mammalia; Rodentia; Muridae.
UGGACUAGCUCUCUGUAGGUGUCUAGC